This 717-nucleotide ribosomal RNA is filed under the name Kitasatospora aureofaciens. RNAcentral's name for it is "bacterial SSU rRNA". It matches the Rfam family "Bacterial small subunit ribosomal RNA", at positions 94 to 825 of the family's 1533-position model. The record is from RNAcentral. Lineage: Bacteria; Bacillati; Actinomycetota; Actinomycetes; Kitasatosporales; Streptomycetaceae.
AGUGGCGAACGGGUGAGUAACACGUGGGCAAUCUGCCCUGCACUCUGGGACAAGCCCUGGAAACGGGGUCUAAUACCGGAUACGACCUUCCUCCGCAUGGGGGUUGGUGGAAAGCUCCGGCGGUGCAGGAUGAGCCCGCGGCCUAUCAGCUUGUUGGUGGGGUAAUGGCCUACCAAGGCGACGACGGGUAGCCGGCCUGAGAGGGCGACCGGCCACACUGGGACUGAGACACGGCCCAGACUCCUACGGGAGGCAGCAGUGGGGAAUAUUGCACAAUGGGCGAAAGCCUGAUGCAGCGACGCCGCGUGAGGGAUGACGGCCUUCGGGUUGUAAACCUCUUUCAGCAGGGAAGAAGCGCAAGUGACGGUACCUGCAGAAGAAGCACCGGCUAACUACGUGCCAGCAGCCGCGGUAAUACGUAGGGUGCGAGCGUUGUCCGGAAUUAUUGGGCGUAAAGAGCUCGUAGGCGGCCUGUCGCGUCGGAUGUGAAAGCCCGGGGCUUAACCCCGGGUCUGCAUUCGAUACGGGCAGGCUAGAGUGUGGUAGGGGAGAUCGGAAUUCCUGGUGUAGCGGUGAAAUGCGCAGAUAUCAGGAGGAACACCGGUGGCGAAGGCGGAUCUCUGGGCCAUUACUGACGCUGAGGAGCGAAAGCGUGGGGAGCGAACAGGAUUAGAUACCCUGGUAGUCCACGCCGUAAACGUUGGGAACUAGGUGUUG